This 431-nucleotide ribosomal RNA is filed under the name Leptopelis concolor (Witu forest treefrog). RNAcentral describes it as "partial large subunit ribosomal RNA". It matches the Rfam family "Bacterial large subunit ribosomal RNA", at positions 2010 to 2607 of the family's 2925-position model. Lineage: Eukaryota; Metazoa; Chordata; Amphibia; Anura; Arthroleptidae. The record is from RNAcentral.
ACUACACUGUCUCCUCCGUAAAAUCAANGAAACUGAUCUCCUCGNGAAGAAGCGAGGAUAUAUAUAUAAGACGAGAAGACCCCNUGGAGNUUUAAACGAACUUCAAUUGCUUCCACCAAUACCACGAAAAUUAAGCACUANUGAUAGAUAGUUUUAGGUUGGGGUGACCGCGGAGUAAAACAAAACCUCCACAAUGAACGUAACAAAAUUCUAAUAAAANAACUACAACUCUAAUAAUCAACAUAUUGACAUAAAUUGACCCAAANAUUUGAUCAAUGAACCAAGUUACCCUGGGGAUAACAGCGCAAUCCAUUUUAAGAGCCCUUAUCGACAAAUGGGUUUACNACCUCGAUGUUGGAUCAGGGUAUCCCAGUGGUGCANCCGCUACUAAUGNGUUCGUUUGUUCAACGAUUAAAACCCUACGUGAUCUG